GACGAACGCUGGCGGCGUGGAUUAGGCAUGCAAGUCGCGCGACGGUAUUCCUUCGGGGAUAUACGGAGCGGCGAACGGGUGAGUAACACGUGAGCAACCUGCCCUUGACUCUGGAAUAACAGUUGGAAACAGCUGCUAAUACUGGAUAUUUACUUGUCCCUUCCUGGGGGUGAGUGGAAAGCUCCGGCGGUCAGGGAUGGGCUCGCGGCCUAUCAGCUUGUUGGUGAGGAAUGGCUCACCAAGGCUUCGACGGGUAGCCGGCCUGAGAGGGCGACCGGCCACACUGGGACUGAGAUACGGCCCAGACUCCUACGGGAGGCAGCAGUGGGGAAUAUUGCACAAUGGGCGCAAGCCUGAUGCAGCAACGCCGCGUGCGGGAUGACGG
RNAcentral lists this ribosomal RNA (385 nucleotides) under uncultured bacterium. Its description in RNAcentral is "bacterial SSU rRNA". It matches the Rfam family "Bacterial small subunit ribosomal RNA", at positions 28 to 414 of the family's 1533-position model. The record is from RNAcentral.